UUUGCAUAUGUGCGAGUCAUUGGGAAUUAUGAAACUCAAAGGCGUGGUAAAGGUAAAGUUUCCCUUUGUACGAUUUAUUGAUGAGAUCCCGUCUUUUCGUUCGUAAAUUCCAAGAUGUGAGCAGCAGGUGUAUGCGUGGCCUAUUCCGUGAGAUGAGCAUGUGACCUUUUGUGUGUGUCAUCGCGGUGGAGCAAAAGGCGUACAUGUUGACACCUGUAAGAUAGCGAACUGUGCUUGGGAAGGUGGAGAAUUAGUGAUUCUGACGUGCGGUUCGAUCGUAUAACAUGAAUUUAGGAGUAUAAGACUAGUCGAAUUAUCUAAUAGCUGG
RNAcentral lists this non-coding RNA (328 nucleotides) under Trichobilharzia regenti. RNAcentral describes it as "Eukaryotic large subunit ribosomal RNA". It matches the Rfam family "Eukaryotic large subunit ribosomal RNA", at positions 675 to 954 of the family's 3401-position model. Lineage: Eukaryota; Metazoa; Platyhelminthes; Trematoda; Strigeidida; Schistosomatidae. The record is from Rfam by way of RNAcentral.